CACGUCGCCUUGUAACAUCCCCGGAAAUUUAAAUGAAAUAUAUGUAUUAAAAAGGUCAAAUACGGAAGCGUAAUAAAAAUUUUGAUUAAAUUCCCUUACACAAUAACCAAAACAUACUCAAAACAUGAAAGAACAAACUAACGAAAAGAGAUACUCGAGAUAAGAACUAUAAAUAUAGUUAUGGAAUCUUUAGGCGUCCCCUUCGCUGUCUUCCUGCAGAACGGGCUCGGGAACAAUGUCUUCCUGAUAUGAAAUGGUUAAAUAAGGAAUGAGGUACACUAGCCCAGUAAAGACAUCACACUAUCUCACCGCCACAGAAGUAAAGGUGGGU
Molecule: long non-coding RNA, 331 nt
Filed under: Carica papaya (papaya)
Lineage: Eukaryota; Viridiplantae; Streptophyta; Magnoliopsida; Brassicales; Caricaceae
Description: long non-coding RNA (CPAP_LNC009355)
Source: RNAcentral